GGAGAUCAGCCAUUCAACAUCAGGAACGACCCCCACCCCCUCGAAACUUAAUCUCCUUUACCCUAACCAGCCGCUGAACCCUAUCAGACUUUAUUUCCUUCAGCACAAAACAACGACCACCCUUCAGCUUCCACCCACCACAACGCCGACCACCCCUCCUAGCCGUCCCUUCUAACCUCAUCUCCUAACCCCUUUACCAUUCGACCCAAACUUCCCGAACCUCACGCCUCUCAUUCUUCUAAGCCGCCGGACCUCCACUCCAAACUCCUACCUCCUCUCAAAGACUAGAAACAGCCCCACGCCACCAGACUUCCGCCAAAAUCCCUGAAAGAAAAGGAAAACGAGAAACAGGGGAGGGGCAAGUCACACACACACGAGAAACAAGCUGAAAAACGAGGAAAAGGGGGGGUUCGGACAGAAAUUUCGGAGAAAAAUGGAGAGAAAGAGCUAGGGUUUUUGGAUUUUCAGUUGUUCUUCUAAUUUUUCAUUCAUUCAAAAAUUUAGAGUUCUCUUUUAGUUUUCUUUUGGGUUCCUAAAAAAGAAAAUCAAAGAACUGUUUGCCGCUGUUGUUUUGUUCGAAAUUCCAGUGCUGAUUCGAGUUUUCAUCCGAGGUUCGAGGUUCCGAUUUGUCUUGCGGUUCCUGCUUGACUUCCCCGCUAUUGUUUUGUUUUGAGUUUUGAAGAUGAGAUCUGCAUCAGUUUGCCUAUUUUUUUAACUCCAGGUUCAUCCUUUCCCUUUUCUAUCUUGUUCACUAUUAUUUAUGAUGAAUAUUAAGCAUUGGAAGAAUUAUUUUAAGAUCCGUUGAGGUUUGGUUGAUUCAUAUUGAUUUGGUUUAUGGCUUUUAGUUAUUGUCUUCCCUAAAUUUCCUUUAGUGAAUUAUCUGUGAUGGAGUUUGGAUGAAUUCAAAAAUGUGUUAAACCCUCUAUCUGUUAUUUUGCUAUUUAAUUUCGAACUUGAGUGUAUAAUUUUAGCAAUCUUAUAAGAUCUUGUAAAGAUUUGGUUUCCUGUUUGUGAGACCUUGCAAAAUACUAGUGUAAAUGGAUUUGUUAAUUAAUGUUAGCUUCAGCUGAUACAGGGCGGUAGGUGGUUAACAGGUCCUUAAAAUGAAGCUUUAGCUACAUGAUUUGCGUGCAAGUGCUUUGGUAGAUCUUGUGACCAUUAGACUGCCCCUUUGUCCUAAUUGCAUUUAUUGUCGGUUUUUACAUUAAGAGAUUCUCCUAAUUGAAGGAAAGUUCCAUAAGCCCAAUAAGGAUCCAACUCUAUGGCUUGUGCUUCAUCCUUCUGCACUUUCUUCUUCUGUUUACUUCUUGUCAUUCUUAUUAGUUGCAGAAAUGAAUUACAAAAGAAAGUGUUUUGAAUAGUUAAGCUCACUUAUAUUAGGAAAUCUUUCAAUAGCUCUUCUCAUGGCUUAAAUUCACCUUUACUUUUAUUAGCCUCUUAGUCUCCUUCUCAAAUGUUCAUUUUUGCUUUCGAUGCUUGUUAUGGAUACUUUACUUUGCUGAUGAUUAAUUUUGUUGAACACGAAUUAUUUUGAAUGAUUGUUGGGUUGGGGUAUGGGAAAAGACCGAGCUCACCAGUGAUUAAACUAUGCUUUAAGAUUGGGUUUGAUCCAAAUACAUAAAAAAUAAAAAGUCAAGUAACUCAUGAACACCGUUGGUAUACUUUUAGGCACGCUUUUAAUCUAUUAUCGUAGCUACGGUACGAUUUCCGUGAUGUAGUUGUGAUACAUAAUUUUCAAAUCUGGGGGUACAUUUAUGUGACCCGGACACAACUUCUAAUAAUGUUAAUAAAAAUAAACACGUUGUAUAUCGUGGGUACUGUUCCCUUGACAUAUUUCGCAAUGUGUACCAAAUAAACGAGUGUGUGACAUCGCGACUUGUUCCAACCUAAUUCCAUAAAAUAAUUAAAAGCGGUUUUGAAAAUGCAAUAGGCUCUAAAUAUGUAAUUAAUCAGAUAAUUAGGCCAACAAUAAUAGUUGAGCGACCGUGCUAAAACCCCGGAACCCAAGAAUGCCUAACACUUUCUCCCGGGUUAACAUAAUUUCUUACCCGGAUUUCUGUGUUCGCAGACCAUAAAUAGAGUCAAUCUUCCUCGAUUCAGAAUUUUAAAACCGGUGACUUAGGACACCAUAAAUUAUCCCAAGUGGCGACUCUGGUUUUUAAAUAAAUAAUCUCGUUUCGAUUUUCACUUAAAUUGAAAAACUCACUUAUACCCCUAUUUCGGGGGUAGUAAAAAUGAGUUGUGACAAAGUGCAGCUCGAAAAUAUCAGGCAUCUCCUCUAAGGCUAUAUUAGAAGAUUGACCAACCAAGUCAAAGCCUCAAAUCACUCUAUUAAAUGAGGACAUGAAAAGGAAGGACAUAAACGAAUCCAACCCAUCUCUAAUGCAGGAUUCAGAGGCACUCCUUAGGUCAAAUCUCUUAGAGGAUUUAGUGCCUCAAUCAAGAUCAUUCUGCAACGGUCCUCAAACUGUCGUAUAAGAAGACUGCCAAUUUCAAAAAGAAGUGUUACGCAACUACAAACACUGUCUUCUAAGUCUCUCUAGUUCUUAGCUCAAACACUGUAUUUUUGAGUUUAUAAGUGUUACAAAAGAUAAGAAAAGUUAGAACACAAAAGAGAGUUGUGUCAACAUCCAGAAAUUACUGUUGCUAAUCAUCAUUGGUGGUGAACGAACUAAAACUAUCACUGUUGUAAUUUUUUAUCAAGAUCUAAGAGAACCAUUGUGACCCAAGGGAAACUGAAUGUAAGUACCACAUCGGUACCGAACUAGUAUAAAAGCUGAUGUGUCUUGUUUAGCUUUCAAUUCGUUUGGUUCAUCUUUACUUCAUCUAUCUGUUGUGCAAAACCUAGUCGACUAAACUUAUAAUUAAUCAACCAAUUUUUAAUAGACAACUAUUCAUCCCCUCUUGUACUUUCAGUAUGAAUGUGAAACAUGCAUGCUAGUCAAACUCAAAUAUAUAAGGCCAAAUACAUAGAUAGACCAUUAAACUUGGGCUAAUUUUUCAUUUUGGCACUUUAACUCAGUCUUGUUCCAUUUUGGCCCUCCAACUCCAUUACUUUUGUUCCACUUUAACACAAAAUUUUUUAUCCCAGGUAAAAAUGCAGCGCGUGCAAAUACCCAGCUGCUACCCCUUCCCCCGCGCAAAAGAAAAUAUUUUACUUUUUUUGUAAUUUUAAAUUAUUAUUUUUUUCGUUUUUCUGCUCCCUCCCGGGGAAAAAUUAUUUUAUAUAUAUAUUUUCAGUAAUAACUACGGGUUCAACUGAACCCAUAACUUUCGACGAAAUUUGUAUGUAAUUUUUUUUAAAAUUGCAAAAAUAAUAGAUAUGAACUCAUAACUUUAAAAAUAUGAUGGGUUCAAUGUUAAAAACAUUAAAAUUGAAUCCAUAGGAUUUAAAUCCUGGAUCCGCCUUUGCGUUGGGAGUAUGAACUUUGGCUUAAAAAAUGACUCUCACGCGCCUACAAGGGUGAGACAAAUCAAACAUGGAAUCUAGUCAGCUUUUGUGUUAAAAUGGAACAAAAAAAAUAAAAUUGGAGGGUCAAAAAUAGAACAAGACUGAGUUAGAAUGUUAAAAUGAAAAAUUGAGCUAAGUAUAAUGGCAUGUCUAUGUAUUUGGCCAAUAUAUAAUAUGGAAUCUCUAUCUCUCAGGCUGCAGGUGUACAUGUGAGCCAUGUGGGACCCUAAUUAAUUCCCUCACGUAUAGUUCCUGUCCUAUCAAGUGUUGAAGCUCUCUGCUUUUAAAUCCCAUCACAAAUCUCUCGUGACCACCCCUUACCACCGCAUAAUGGGCGAGGACGUCUCCUACCUUUAUUCUAUUUCUUGUUCCUAAAAUGAAAAAUUUCCUAUUUUGAGAACAACUUAUUUCAAUUAUUC
This 3870-nucleotide long non-coding RNA is filed under the name Nicotiana tabacum (common tobacco). RNAcentral's name for it is "long non-coding RNA (NTAB_LNC005783)". The record is from RNAcentral. Lineage: Eukaryota; Viridiplantae; Streptophyta; Magnoliopsida; Solanales; Solanaceae.